UACGUAGGCAGCGAGCGUUGUUCGGAAUUACUGGGCGUAAAGAGUGUGUAGGCGGUGUUCCAAGUCUGGUGUGAAAUCUCCCGGCUUAACUGGGAGGGUGCGCCGGAAACUGGAAUGCUCGAGGGUGGGAGAGGUAAGCGGAAUUCCUGGUGUAGCGGUGAAAUGCGUAGAUAUCAGGAGGAACACCGGUGGCGAAGGCGGCUUUCUGGACAGUUACCGACGCUGAGGCACGAAAGCUAGGGGAGCAAACAGG
Molecule: ribosomal RNA, 253 nt
Filed under: uncultured bacterium
Lineage: Bacteria
Description: partial 16S ribosomal RNA
Rfam family: Bacterial small subunit ribosomal RNA
Source: RNAcentral